This 521-nucleotide ribosomal RNA is filed under the name uncultured bacterium. RNAcentral describes it as "bacterial SSU rRNA". It matches the Rfam family "Bacterial small subunit ribosomal RNA", at positions 777 to 1304 of the family's 1533-position model. The record is from RNAcentral.
AAUAGAUACCCGGGUAGUCCACGCCGUAAACGAUGGAUACUAGCUGUUUGAGCGCAAGUUUGAGUGGCUAAGCGAAAGUGAUAAGUAUCCCACCUGGGGAGUACGGGCGCAAGCCUGAAACUCAAAGGAAUUGACGGGGGCCCGCACAAGCGGUGGAGCAUGUGGUUUAAUUCGAUGAUACGCGAGGAACCUUACCAGGGCUUAAAUGUAGAUUGACGUAUUUGGAAACAGAUAUUUCUUCGGACAAUUUACAAGGUGCUGCAUGGUUGUCGUCAGCUCGUGCCGUGAGGUGUCAGGUUAAGUCCUAUAACGAGCGCAACCCCUGUUGUUAGUUGCCAGCGAGUAGUGUCGGGAACUCUAGCAAGACUGCCAGUGUAAACUGUGAGGAAGGUGGGGAUGACGUCAAAUCAUCACGGCCCUUACGUCCUGGGCCACACACGUGCUACAAUGGCCGGUACAGAGAGCAGCCACUUAGCGAUAAGGAGCGAAUCUAUAAAGCCGGUCACAGUUCGGAUCGGAGU